This is a long non-coding RNA of Cervus elaphus (red deer), 273 nucleotides long. RefSeq lists it as uncharacterized. NCBI's taxonomy places the organism in Eukaryota, Metazoa, Chordata, Mammalia, Artiodactyla, Cervidae. The record is from RefSeq and is a predicted model, not a curated record. The transcript is spliced from 3 exons.
AUGGUUGUGGAGGUGAGAUGUGCGUGGAAAGCGCUUUGCGAGCUGUGCCGGGCUCCCUAGACAUCGGCCGCCGUAACCUCAUCGGCUGCUCCCGGGUCAGGCACAUCCGGAAAUGUUUCAGCAAACACAAAGAACUCCUCUGUCCUGUCCUGUAAGUGGCCCAAGAUGCAUCACAGAACCACUGAGCAAGUCAUGAGGCCAGGAACCGUAUCUCCUUCGUGUUCUGAUGUACCCCCAGGACCAGCACAGUGCUGGGUACAGAGCUAUGCACAG